ACGCGAAGAACCUUACCUGGCCUUGACAUCUGUCGAAUCCUGCAGAGAUGUGGGAGUGCCUUCGGGAACGACAAGACAGGUGCUGCAUGGCUGUCGUCAGCUCGUGUCGUGAGAUGUUGGGUUAAGUCCCGCAACGAGCGCAACCCUUGUCCUUAGUUGCCAUCAUUCAGUUGGGAACUCUAAGGAGACCGCCGGUGACAAACCGGAGGAAGGUGGGGAUGACGUCAAGUCAUCAUGGCCUUUAUGGCCAGGGCUACACACGUGCUACAAUGGCAGGUACAGAGGGAAGCCAACUCGCGAGAGGGAGCCAAUCCCAGAAAACCUGUCGUAGUCCGGAUCGGAGUCUGCAACUCGACUCUGUGAAGUCGGAAUCGCUAGUAAUCGCAGAUCAGCAUUGCUGCGGUGAAUACGUUCCCGGGUCUUGUACACACCG
This 433-nucleotide ribosomal RNA is filed under the name uncultured bacterium. Its description in RNAcentral is "bacterial SSU rRNA". It matches the Rfam family "Bacterial small subunit ribosomal RNA", at positions 959 to 1392 of the family's 1533-position model. The record is from RNAcentral.